UACAGGGGGGGCAAGCGUUGUUCGGAAUUACUGGGCGUAAAGGGCGCGUAGGCGGCUCAUGAAGUCUGUGGUGAAAGUCCGGGGCUCAACCUCGGAUCGGCCGUGGCGACUCGUGGGCUGGAGCACUGUAGAGGCGGGUGGAAUUCCGGGUGUAGCGGUGGAAUGCGUAGAGAUCGGGAAGAACACCAGUGGCGAAGGCGGCCCGCUGGGCAGUGGCUGACGCUGAGGCGCGACAGCGUGGGGAGCAAACAGG
Molecule: ribosomal RNA, 253 nt
Filed under: uncultured bacterium
Lineage: Bacteria
Description: partial 16S ribosomal RNA
Rfam family: Bacterial small subunit ribosomal RNA
Source: RNAcentral